This is a long non-coding RNA of Osmerus eperlanus (European smelt), 386 nucleotides long. RefSeq lists it as uncharacterized. The transcript has 3 exons. Lineage: Eukaryota; Metazoa; Chordata; Actinopteri; Osmeriformes; Osmeridae. The record is from RefSeq and is a predicted model, not a curated record.
GUGGCAUUCUUUUUUUCUGGGUCAUUUAAAAAGCAACUGAAAUUCAACACAUUUGUACAGGAGCUACAGCAUGUAACACUUACUUUAGUACCAGUGCCAGAUGUUAACACUGAGCAACCUUUGUCAACAGACAGAAAUGAGGCAAGUGGCAGACUGCCUCUUGGUUUUCUUAUUCCUCCUUUCCCUAGAGAUCUUCAGACCAGACUUGACAAAAAGGAAGCAUGUCAGAAGUCCAGCAAAGAUCGACAUACGAUCAUUCGUGUUCUGCAUGAAGCAGUUAUAGAACACACAAUGUAUCCCAACAAUGCGGAAUAUGUGCAAGUAGUUAGAGCACUUAUUGUGAAGUAUCCUUUCCUUAAGGAUCCGGAGGGAAACGGCUAUGUAAG